RNAcentral lists this transfer RNA (82 nucleotides) under Lactiplantibacillus pentosus. RNAcentral's name for it is "tRNA-Leu". It matches the Rfam family "tRNA". From Rfam's summary of the family: Transfer RNA (tRNA) molecules are approximately 80 nucleotides in length. Their secondary structure includes four short double-helical elements and three loops (D, anti-codon, and T loops). The record is from RNAcentral. Lineage: Bacteria; Bacillati; Bacillota; Bacilli; Lactobacillales; Lactobacillaceae.
GCGGGUGUGGCGGAACUGGCAGACGCGCUAGAUUUAGGUUCUAGUGUCUUACGACGUGAGGGUUCAAAUCCCUUCACCCGCA